Molecule: ribosomal RNA, 464 nt
Filed under: uncultured bacterium
Lineage: Bacteria
Description: bacterial SSU rRNA
Rfam family: Bacterial small subunit ribosomal RNA
Source: RNAcentral
GACGAACGCUGGCGGCGCGCCUAACACAUGCAAGUCGAGCGAGAACCAGGGCUUCGGCCCUGGGGAAAGCGGCGAACGGGUGAGUAACACGUGGGUAACCUGCCCUCGGCACCGGGAUAGCCCGAGGAAACUCGGAUUAAUACCGGACAGCCUCAUGAGCCCUCGGGCGAAUGAGAAAAGGUGGCUUCGGCUUCCGGCUGAGGAUGGGCCCGCGUCCGAUUAGCUUGUUGGUGGGGUAAUGGCUCACCAAGGCUCCGAUCGGUAGCUGGUCUGAGAGGACGAUCAGCCACACUGGGACUGAGACACGGCCCAGACUCCUACGGGAGGCAGCAGUGGGGAAUAUUGGACAAUGGGCGAAAGCCUGAUCCAGCAAUGCCGCGUGUGUGAAGAAGGCCUGCGGGUUGUAAAGCACUUUCAGUAGGGAAGAAAAGCUUGGUGUGAAUAGCGCCGAGUCUUGACGUUAA